GCAGGUCCAGAGCAGUGCUGGAGUUGACAGAUGCAGUACACAUACAUGAGACAUUGCAGAGUAAGCUUGGACCUAAAGGGAACCCAUACAUCCGUGGCUAGCACCUGUGAAAAUGACUCUUCUGUGAACUUCACUUUCAGGAAGGAGGCUCUGUGGAGUGGGCAUGACCUGGAAUGCAUUAAAGAUUCAGACAAGCCUGACGGUGUGUGCUCAUAAGUGCUAACUACGCUACUGCAGGACUCAGAGAUGAGAAAAUGAAGAGUCGAGGGUGAGAGACUAGCCUGGGAAAGUGUGAAAGCAGUUUGGAAGGCCGGUGAGCACAUGUGCAGAGGAUGAAAGCAAUAUCCUAAUCAGCCAUGAUGCCUGCUCCGUCCUACCGAGUAGCAUUCCUCUUGCGAACAUCAUUGGCUUCACUGUGGAGAUUUUACAGAAGAGACCCCUGGGCCUAUGUGCUCGUUCACCAGGGCUUUAGUGACACCGAACUAAACAUCAACCUUGACAAUGACCACUGUUGAAGAGACCCUAACUAAUUGCAUCAUUUGGAGCUUCAGUUCUGAACUGUGACCUUGGCUCCUCACA
This is a long non-coding RNA of Alexandromys fortis (reed vole), 579 nucleotides long. RefSeq lists it as uncharacterized. The transcript has 3 exons. The record is from RefSeq and is a predicted model, not a curated record. Lineage: Eukaryota; Metazoa; Chordata; Mammalia; Rodentia; Cricetidae.